AGCGACCCAUUAAGUCAUGUAGUUCAACAUCACCACUCGAUGUUUUGGUCAACUGUUUACUGAAAGCCUCCUCCAAUUGUUGUGCCACCGUCAACAGCGUCGGAAACAUAAACUUCAUUUUCGCAGAUGUGAAGGUCGGUGUGAGUUUCGUGCGCAAUGGACGCCACCUUUCGCCAUCCACACUAAACAGGUGACGAUUGACAAUGCUCUCACUGCUCUUACGUUGUUCGAAACGAUCGGUGAAUUUAUUGAAAUCUUUAAUUAGUAUGGACUUCACCAAGUCUAAGUCCAGCGCAACGGCUAUAGGUUUGGUAAAAACGUAUGUACCGACUAAUUUUGCUUUACCACGAAACUUUUUAUAGACUUCGUGGAAGAUUUCUGUUUUAUGCAUGGUUUUUAUGCGGAAGAAGUUUCCAUAGAAGAAAUUCAUUUGCAGCUGAGGCACACCACGUUGCUCCCAA
Molecule: long non-coding RNA, 461 nt
Organism: Bactrocera dorsalis (oriental fruit fly)
Lineage: Eukaryota; Metazoa; Arthropoda; Insecta; Diptera; Tephritidae
Exons: 3
Source: RefSeq, a predicted model, not a curated record